UUUGAUAAUAAGCUGGAUCUGCUGUGACUCCGCCCACCUAUAGGGUAUUUGUUUCUUUUGCAGAUCUGAGGUUUUUCUGAGAAGGGAGUUUCUGACAACCUCUUCUAUACUAACAGCAACAAUAUCAAAAUCUUUUGACAGCAUGAUCAAAGAACUGUUGAUAAUAGCUUUCAAGAUGAUCCUAGUUUUAGGAUCUUCUCAUGAAGUCCACCAGACUCCAUUUUAUAUUCAAGCAAAGCCAAGAGAAACCGCCAGAAUCAACUGCUCUCACAGUAUUCAGAACUACAAUGUAAUCCUGUGGUAUAAGAGAUCAGAGGACAGACAGCUUCAGCUCCUGGGAUAUAUGUAUCUAGACAACAAAAAUCCUGAACCUGGAGUGACUGUGGAGAUGGAUGGAAAUGCAGCUAAAGACCAGAACUGCACUUUAAUAAUUAAAGACCUCAGUGUGAGCAGCAGCGCAGUUUACUUCUGUGCAGCCAGCUAUCACAGUGCUGCAUAUUACUGCUCCUCAGUACAUAAACCACCACAUCACUGUUUCUGUAAUCUGUAUCUCAGCUCACAUCCUGCUGCACCUGUGUGAACACACUUUUAUUCAUUAUUUUUUAUCUAAUGACUGUCCUCAGUCUCUGCCGUGGAGGCUGAAGUUUAUGAUAUUGGAUCAUGACGGAAAUGCAUCUUUUCUUGGAAUUGCUUGAGACAUCUAAAAGCUUUGCAACUAUGUGUUGCUGCUGGUACAGGAAAAGUUAUUUCUUCUUUCCAAAGAUCCAAACUAUGCAGGGAUGUUUAAAGGAAGAUUCCAAAUUGAUCUUGGGUGAGUGUCUAUACCCGUCGUACGACAGGAUCCUGUUUGUAGACUUCAGCUCGGCCUUCAACACCAUCAUACCAGACAUCCUCCACCAGAAGCUCAUCCAGCUCAACGUCCCAGCC
Molecule: non-coding RNA, 927 nt
Organism: Girardinichthys multiradiatus
Lineage: Eukaryota; Metazoa; Chordata; Actinopteri; Cyprinodontiformes; Goodeidae
Source: the annotation of a RefSeq genome assembly